CGACCCCGCGCGGGAGAGCCCCCAAGGCAGGAGCGGGGGCGCCGAAGGAGCAAAUCCUCCCCGGAAUCUCUCAGGCACCCGUACCGCACGGACGAG
Molecule: non-coding RNA, 96 nt
Filed under: Streptomyces albus
Lineage: Bacteria; Bacillati; Actinomycetota; Actinomycetes; Kitasatosporales; Streptomycetaceae
Also listed under: 1 other name
Description: Glycine sequence
Rfam family: Glycine riboswitch aptamer
About the family: This family represents the bacterial glycine riboswitch. Glycine riboswitches usually consist of two metabolite-binding aptamers domains with similar structures in tandem.
Source: RNAcentral